RNAcentral lists this ribosomal RNA (330 nucleotides) under uncultured Elusimicrobia bacterium. RNAcentral's name for it is "bacterial SSU rRNA". It matches the Rfam family "Bacterial small subunit ribosomal RNA", at positions 29 to 351 of the family's 1533-position model. The record is from RNAcentral. Lineage: Bacteria; Pseudomonadati; Elusimicrobiota; Elusimicrobia.
AGUGAACGCUGGCGGCAUGCCUAACACAUGCAAGUCGAACGGAUUCCGGCAGUUUAUCGCCGGAGUGAGUGGCAGACGGGUGAGUAAUACGUGGACAAUCUGCCUUUGAGAGAGGGACAACCCCGGGAAACCGGGGCUAAUACCGCGUGAGACCACGUCCCCGCAUGGGGAUGAGGUUAAAGCUCCGCAAGGGGCGCUCGAAGAUGGGUUCACGGCCUAUCAGCUUGUUGGUGAGGUAACGGCUCACCAAGGCUACGACGGGUAGCCGGUCUGAAAGGACGACCGGCCACAAUGGCACUGGGACACGGGCCAUACUCCUACGGGUGGCAG